UUCUUCAGUUCGUGUUUCUGGGAGAGCGC
This 29-nucleotide non-coding RNA is filed under the name Macaca fascicularis (crab-eating macaque). RNAcentral also lists the same sequence under 1 other name. Lineage: Eukaryota; Metazoa; Chordata; Mammalia; Primates; Cercopithecidae. The record is from RNAcentral.